This is a long non-coding RNA of Cygnus olor (mute swan), 3654 nucleotides long. RefSeq lists it as uncharacterized. The transcript has 2 exons. NCBI's taxonomy places the organism in Eukaryota, Metazoa, Chordata, Aves, Anseriformes, Anatidae. The record is from RefSeq and is a predicted model, not a curated record.
UCCGGCGGCGCCUCAGGGCCCCCCGCGCCCCCACACCCGGCGCUGGGGGAGCCACGGCUGCUGGGCACAGGCCCCCAUCCCCUCAGGGAGCACCGGGGCCGCACACACGUCCUCGUCCCGGCACGUGGGAGGGACCAGGCUGAGGCCAAACUCGAGUUUCAGCCCCUGCCUUCCCUGGAAAUCGCUCCUAACGCGAGCUGCGUUCCCCUUGGGCCACUUCCUCAGCCACCUCAGGCCUGCCUGAAAUGAGGGACAAAGCUGAGGGGCCACCAGGAGAGGGGGGGGCCUGCCCACACCACAGAUCGAGGCAGGGUGAGGAGCCACAUUGUGAGGCAGCAGCAGAGGUAGGAACGCAGAGGUUAGCUCAUCCCACCCAGCACCGCUGCCAGGAUGGCGAUACUGCUUACCCAGCACCUCAGGGCUCACCCUCAGCCCUGACCCUGCUCCAUUAGUAAGCAAGAUUCUACAUCAGAAGAAACUUAAAGGAAUGGAGAAGCAACUGAGGAACACACAGGCAAAAUGCUAAUACAGACAAUAAGUAUGCACAUGGAAGUUAAAUUACUGAUCUGGGAAAAUAAUCAAGAGAUCAGCUGAGUCAAGCAGAACAUGAACGCGUGACUGCAAGGAACCAGGAUCUCGGGAGCACAACUUGCAGCACCACUUCACCAGCUUUCCUGCCUGGGUAAGCAGAACACACAGCCCUGAGAAUGAUUUUCAGAGGGAUGCUAAAGCCCCACUUAUCUAAAUCUACCCCCAAGGGACAGGAACCUGCCACCUUUCCCACUCCUCUCAGCUCUAUCCUGGUCUGCCUGCUUCACUCUAGGUGCGCUCACUGUUCUCUUCUCUCCUUCCCUCCCUCCAUCAUACCCAGGAAUUUAAUCAAGACAGGUAAGCCUUUCUCAGCAGACUGGCAUGCUUCCCAGUCCUUAUCACCACUGUCCUCCCUACUGGGGAUUUGUAGUAAAAUUAAUGGUGGCACAAGCUGAGUUAUCACAGCUUUUAAAGGAGAAAGUGUCCGAUGGCUCUGUGGCAGAAGCACUGUAUCAGCGGAAUAUGCUUUAAAUUAUUCUUACAGUAUCAGUGAAAAAUAAGGUCCUUUUGGUAGAGGCAUACCUGUGUGGUAUGCUUAAUAAGUAACCUGGGUGAAACUGGAUUGAAACACAGCAGUACAUCCUGAGUUUCCUAUUGCACUGGGUUUGAAAACUUCAGGUGUUACAGCAAGUUUUUUGGUAAGUGUAGCUAUAGGUACAAAGCCAUUAAAGCUCAUGCUUGGCCUUUGACAAAAAGUAACAUCUUAUCCACUAAUAACACCAUCAAGCCAAAUCUGCAACCGCAACUCUAAAAAUUAGCUAAUUAAAGCUCCCAUCGCCAGGAGAGAGAGGGUGAUCAAGUGCUACUUUGUCUCCUGCCAGAAAGGAGCCACCCCCGAAGCAAAGGGCAGCAGCUGUUUCCCAGCACACAAGUCAGUAAACUGUAGAGCGCGGCCCGAGAAAUGCCACUUCCAAAUAAAACGGGGAGGAGUGUUAUGGGAUUGCUUGGGAAUACAGCUGGAAAGGGGCCAGCAAUUAGUAUGCAUGAAGGCUGGUCCUGUAUGAAUGAUAGAAACGGGAGCAGCUGCUUAGGAUAGGAAAAUACGAUUUGGUCUCUGUGAGAACUCAUCACAUGGUGUGGUUCAAAAUCGACUCACUAUCAGGUCAAAGAACGAUUAAGGUAGGUUUGGUUUUGUUUUGUUUUGUUUUUUUUCUUUGGCGUGAACUUACAGGCCCUCUCUUCAAGAGUUCUCAUUUUGCUUUGGAAAAGGUUUGUGCCCCAGCACAAAGUGGGUUUUAGUCAGGCUCUGCUCUGUGCCUAAUAUUACAGAAGUAGAGUCUGAAGGGAUGGCAGGAGCUAACCUAUGUCAGAGGGCACAGCAAUGGCUUUGCUUUGGAAAUCAGUGGACAAGGAAUUGGUCUUUAAGUACACAAACACGGGCGAACCAGUACCUGCAGGAUCACUUCCCCCACCUUGGAAAAAUCACCACUUCCAACACAAAAUGCGUCGCAGAUCAGUGGGGCACAGUGACCCUGUGCAGCCCAAAGAGAGUAACACACUACCAGGAGCUGCAGAGGCUCCUGCUUGCAGCAAGUCAAACCACAGGACAGAGCUGAACUCCAGAAGAUGGGUUGUUUCCCCUACAAAACUGCACAACAAAGACUUUUCGUCUGUGACCAGAGCUCUGCCACCUGCAUGCAUGCUCCUCUCCUUCCCAAGGGCAUAGCAGUCUGGAGGGGACAGAAUUAUCAGCUACAGUUUUAAAUCAUCCUCUGCCCUAACGUUUACCUUAGCAAAUUACGAAAGGCUUUGUUUAUGCAGAUAGACGCAACAUGGCCUUCAGUGUCAGCAAGAACCAGCUAAAGGAAGCAUAUGAAUGAAAGAGCAGGUACAGGAUAUUGAGUCCUUCUCAAAAGAUCCCAUGAAGAUAGAGCCCGCUGAUUUGCCUGGCUGAGAAAGACACUAACAACAAAAGGAACCAGUUUGUGUUCUCAGUUGUAUUAAAGAUGUAACACUUCGUUCCAGUGCUUUGCUCAUCUGAACACUUCCAGACAAGCAAACAGUCAUGACUGCACCAUCCCCUUUUAAUUCUCCAAAGAAAUCCUGCCAGCAGGAAUAAAAUCCUAAAAUGCAUCUUCUGCAACUGGGAACUCUGUUCUGAGUGGCAGUUAUCACUGAGUAGCAACCACAGUAUGAGGGUGAUGCAGAAUGUUUUGGUCUUCAUGCUAAUUUGCUGCAGUUAAAAUCUGACAAUAUAGUCUCUACUCCUUAUUAAUCACCUCCUGAUUUUCACUGUUUUAUAACCAUCCUGGAAAUAAAAACUUAAAUCCAGAUCUAUUUGCCUCAUGACUGUUGGAAGCCUGAAGUGACUUAUAAAAAGGCUCGUAAGCAAGCUUACAAAUAUAUAAAACUGACAGUGAAUCCCUCUCACCCACUGGGCAAGUAAACACACUUGAGAAACUCCAGAAGGAGCCAACUCUGUGCAAUAGAAGUUUUGCCAUUUACUGUGACAACCCCAGCCCUGCUGUCAGCACGUAUCCAGGGCAAGGGCCAUGCAACAACCAGAAUGCCUGCUCCAUCCUUCCCCCUCUCCAUCCCUUCCUUAUUUCCUCCCUAGCAGUGGAUGGGAAAUGAGCACGCUGUUCAGAGGCACAAAUGUCUCAUUUUCUCAUUUCCAAGAGCCACUGAGACCUGGAAACUCAGCACAGCUCUAGCAGUAGUUUGCAGUUCAUGCCUGUUGCACCCAGGCCUGAACGGAUGAGCGAAUAGUUAGCUGUUGUCGACGAGGAGGAUCACUGACAGAUAAUGCUUGGCACAGCUCAUGGGCAUGUAGGCUGAGUGGAAAGGCAAAACCUUACUGGAAUAACGAGGAACCCCCGAGACCUUAUUCUCAGCAGAUCUUUGUCCCAGGCAAGCAGCAGAGCACAAUUCUGCAACGUAAUGAUGUGCUGUAUUUUCCCCUUCCUCUCCCUCACUCUGAAAGCCACACAGAUAACCCUUUCUGUUCCCACCAAAAGCCUUCAUGCCUGCAGGAUUCUUCACAUGGCAAGGAAGAGCAUGAGCUGUCCCCACCCUUUGCUUUUACCUUCAAGAGGGCAGAACACUGUAAGGCUGAAAUUUCAA